CCUACGGGAGGCAGCAGUGAGGAAUAUUGGUCAAUGGGCGAGAGCCUGAACCAGCCAAGUCGCGUGAGGGAGUACUGCCCUAUGGGUUGUAAACCUCUUUUGUCGGGGAGCAAAAGCCGGACGUGUCCGGCUGUGAGAGUACCCGAAGAAAAAGCAUCGGCUAACUCCGUGCCAGCAGCCGCGGUAAUACGGAGGAUGCGAGCGUUAUCCGGAUUUAUUGGGUUUAAAGGGUGCGCAGGCGGAUUUUUAAGUCAGCGGUAAAAUCGUGGGGCUCAACCCCAUCCAGCCGGUGAAACUGGGGAUCUAGAGUGUGCGAGAGGUAUGCGGAAUGCGUGGUGUAGCGGUGAAAUGCAUAGAUAUCACGCAGAACCCCGAUUGCGAAGGCAGCAUACCGGUGCACAACUGACGCUCAGGCACGAAAGCGUGGGUAUCGAACAGGAUUAGAUACCCCUGUAGUC
This 458-nucleotide ribosomal RNA is filed under the name uncultured bacterium. RNAcentral's name for it is "partial 16S ribosomal RNA". It matches the Rfam family "Bacterial small subunit ribosomal RNA", at positions 338 to 795 of the family's 1533-position model. The record is from RNAcentral.